Molecule: signal recognition particle RNA, 268 nt
Filed under: Actinobacteria bacterium RBG_19FT_COMBO_36_27
Lineage: Bacteria; Bacillati; Actinomycetota
Description: signal recognition particle sRNA large type
Rfam family: Bacterial large signal recognition particle RNA
About the family: The signal recognition particle (SRP) is a universally conserved ribonucleoprotein involved in the co-translational targeting of proteins to membranes. Archaeal SRP consists of a 7S RNA and homologues of the eukaryotic SRP19 and SRP54 proteins.
Source: RNAcentral
CCGUGCCAGGCGGGGAGCUAGCGGUGCCCUGUAACUCACAAUCCGCUAUAGUGAGGCCGAUAAACAGAUGCGAGGUUUACAAUAGUAAGGUUUAGCGCCUGUAUAAGUAGCGUUGAAAGCCGGGUCUUGUGCGGCGGAGGGUUACAAACCCCGCCAGGUCCGAGAGGAAGCAGCGGUAAGUAACAUUCUCCGGGUGCCACAGGGAAGCCUGGCUGGAGCCAACUGUACCGGCAGCACUUGUUGUUAUAAAUCGAAAUCUGCGGCACGG